AGAGAGAGAGAGAGAUUGCUUGCCCCAAGUCGGGCAAUGAUGAACAAGGUCAGCUUUAUUUUUUACUGGGCAGGAUUUUGGCUUACACAUCUCCAAAAUAAGCUUGCCCCCGUCUUGCAUUCUUCCUGCCCCAUGGCUUAAGUACAGUGAAAGUGGUAGAGAGAGAGAGAUUGCUUGCCCCAAGUGGGGCAAUGGAAUAUGAUGAACAGGAAAAUGGUUAAUGGGGGUGUUGUCAACAACUGGAUGUGUUUCAACUUUUCACGCAAUGUG
Papaver somniferum (opium poppy) is the source of this 270-nucleotide long non-coding RNA. RefSeq lists it as uncharacterized. The record is from RefSeq and is a predicted model, not a curated record. The transcript is spliced from 3 exons. NCBI's taxonomy places the organism in Eukaryota, Viridiplantae, Streptophyta, Magnoliopsida, Ranunculales, Papaveraceae.